CAGCCGCCGCGGUAAUACGAAGGGGGCUAGCGUUGCUCGGAAUUACUGGGCGUAAAGGGCGCGUAGGCGGACAGUUAAGUCGGGGGUGAAAGCCCGGGGCUCAACCUCGGAAUUGCCUUCGAUACUGGCUGUCUUGAGUACGGGAGAGGUGUGUGGAACUCCGAGUGUAGAGGUGAAAUUCGUAGAUAUUCGGAAGAACACCAGUGGCGAAGGCGACACACUGGCCCGUUACUGACGCUGAGGCGCGAAAGCGUGGGGAGCAAACAGGAUUAGAUACCCGAGUAGUCCCUGUCUCUUAUAA
This 301-nucleotide ribosomal RNA is filed under the name uncultured bacterium. RNAcentral describes it as "partial 16S ribosomal RNA". It matches the Rfam family "Bacterial small subunit ribosomal RNA", at positions 509 to 809 of the family's 1533-position model. The record is from RNAcentral.